RNAcentral lists this ribosomal RNA (489 nucleotides) under uncultured bacterium. RNAcentral describes it as "SSU rRNA". It matches the Rfam family "Bacterial small subunit ribosomal RNA", at positions 26 to 502 of the family's 1533-position model. The record is from RNAcentral.
AGAACGAACGCUGGCGGCGUGGAUAAGACAUGCAAGUCGAACGCGACUUAUCGUGUUAGCAAUAACAUGGUAAGUUGAGUGGCGAAAGGGUGCGUAACACGUGGGAAAUUACCAAGAAGUGGGGAAUAGCUCGACGAAAGUCGAAUUAAUACCGCAUAUGAUCGCAAGAUCAAAGUCGGGGACCGCAAGGCCUGACGCUUUUUGAGAUGCCCGCGGCCCAUCAGCUAGUUGGUGAGGUAAAAGCUCACCAAGGCUAUGACGGGUAGCUGGUCUGAGAGGACGACCAGCCACACUGGAACUGAGACACGGUCCAGACACCUACGGGUGGCAGCAGUCGAGAAUUUUUCACAAUGGACGAAAGUCUGAUGGAGCGACGCCGCGUGGAGGAUGAAGGUUUUCGGAUUGUAAACUCCUGUCACUGCAGAACAAGGAUACGUUAGUUAACAGCCAACGUAUUUGAUGGUAUGCGGAGAGGAAGGGACGCUAACU